Molecule: unclassified non-coding RNA, 639 nt
Filed under: Linnemannia elongata
Lineage: Eukaryota; Fungi; Mortierellomycota; Mortierellomycetes; Mortierellales; Mortierellaceae
Description: Mortierella elongata partial contains 18S rRNA, ITS1, 5.8S rRNA, ITS2 and 26S/28S rRNA
Rfam family: 5.8S ribosomal RNA (bases 193-346)
Source: RNAcentral
AAGUCGUAACAAGGUUUCCGUAGGUGACCUGCGGAAGGAUCAUUCAUAAUAAGUGUUUUAUGGCACUUUUUAAAUCCAUAUCCACCUUGUGUGCAAUGUCGGUCGAUCUUCUUCAUGGAGAUCGACCAAACAUCAACCUUUAUCUUUUAACUCUUUGUCUGAAAAAUAUUAUGAAUAAACAAUUCAAAAUACAACUUUCAACAACGGAUCUCUUGGCUCUCGCAUCGAUGAAGAACGCAGCGAAAUGCGAUACGUAAUGUGAAUUGCAGAAUUCAGUGAAUCAUCGAAUCUUUGAACGCAUAUUGCGCUCUUUGGUAUUCCGAAGAGCAUGCUUGUUUGAGUAUCAGUAAACACCUCAAAGCUUUUGGAUUUUUUAAUCGAAAAGCUUUGGACUUGAGCAAUCCCAACACCAAUCUUUUUGAGAUCGGUGGCGGGUUGCUUGAAAUGCAGGUGCAGCUGGACAUUCUCCUGAGCUAAAAGCAUAUUCAUUUAGUCCCGUCAAACGGAUUAUUACUUUUGCUGCAGCUAACAUAAAGGGAGUUUGACCGUAUUGGCUGACUGAUGCAGGAUUUCACAAGGGUCGGCAACGAUUCUUGUUAAACUCGAUCUCAAAUCAAGUAAGACUACCCGCUGAACUUA